RNAcentral lists this ribosomal RNA (245 nucleotides) under uncultured Actinomycetales bacterium. RNAcentral's name for it is "partial 16S ribosomal RNA". It matches the Rfam family "Bacterial small subunit ribosomal RNA", at positions 524 to 768 of the family's 1533-position model. Lineage: Bacteria; Bacillati; Actinomycetota; Actinomycetes; Actinomycetales. The record is from RNAcentral.
UACGUAGGGUGCAAGCGUUGUCCGGAAUUAUUGGGCGUAAAGAGCUCGUAGGCGGUCUGUCGCGUCUGCUGUGAAAACUUCGGGCUCAACCCGAAGCUGGCAGUGGGUACGGGCGGACUGGAGUGCAGUAGGGGAGACUGGAAUUCCUGGUGUAGCGGUGAAAUGCGCAGAUAUCAGGAGGAACACCGGUGGCGAAGGCGGGUCUCUGGGCUGUUACUGACGCUGAGGAGCGAAAGCGUGGGGAG